UCUAUGUUCUUUGUAAUUAUUUUGGUAGAAUAUGUUCUCAACAGAAUUUUCAGCUGUCCUAAGAUUAUUGAUCGAUUGGUUUGGGGGUCAUAAAAAACGUGGCAAAGAAAGUUAUCAUUAAAAAAAUAAAGUAACACUCAAAAGAUUUUGACUUCUGUGAAUGAAGAAAUAACACCAGGUGCUUGACAAUGCACUUUAUAAUUUAACACCUCAGUGAUUUUAAAGUAACAAAUGGCUGAUGUGUAAUUUCUACUCUCAGCUUCAGUAAGAGAUGGGCUUGCCUCUGCCACUUGGAUUUACUUUCAUGUCUCCUGGCUCCAGGAAGCUAGUUCUAAUCAAGGAUGCACACCACUCAUCAGAAUGUUACAAUUUCUAUGUGAUCUGCUGCUUCAUUUUGUUCCAUUUAAGGUUUGGGGGAAUCAGAUGGAUAGGGCAUGCACAUUUUGAAAUCUGCAGCUCUGUGGACAAUGGGUUGUACGGGAUGGAGACCACAUACAUCGCAGACAAUGCAGUGCACACAUCUUACCAUACUUUCAGCUGCUGCAGGAAUCACCCAACUGUCCGGCCCUAUGAAGAGAUAUUUCCAUCACUGCAGACCUUUCUGCACAUUCCAUCACACACAGUCUGAAUACUGAAACAGGUUCUGGCUUGUUAUUUUUCCUUAGCAACAUCAUUUGAAAAGAAAAGCUUCUGACUUUGCUGAAGUCCUUCCACACGCCAUCACUCUAUCCUGCUGCCAUGGUGAGCUGUCUAAAGCAGAAGUCUGAGUAAGUGCUUCUUCUGCCUCGUGGCCCUCUAAGGAUGGUUAGCAUCAAAAAC
This 819-nucleotide long non-coding RNA is filed under the name Mus spicilegus (steppe mouse). RNAcentral describes it as "lncRNA (ENSMSIG00000006469.1)". Lineage: Eukaryota; Metazoa; Chordata; Mammalia; Rodentia; Muridae. The record is from RNAcentral.